GACCAGGACACUUGAAGGUCCGUAAGACAUGAGAAAAUUAUCUCUAGCGACUUGUUUGAAGUAGUCUUAUAUUUUGUGCUAUUUAUAUUUUCAUGUCAAAUCAUAAAUGAGUGUACAUAUGAUGUCCUUUGCAUAUCCACAGCCAUUCAUUUUGUGGAUGUGUCUGGUAUUAGAGGCCCAAGAUUCAUCGCUGUGGCCAAGUCUGGUUGAUUUCAUGCUGUGUAGGUUCUCACUUUCAUUUACAACGUUCAGUUUGCUUGAAAUAUAUGCCAGUUUAUGAUCAGCUUGUUGGUGAAACUCACCACCACCACAAUCACAGCUUUGAUGUGCUUUAGUGUCCUUUAACAAUUACUGGUCUUUUCUUUGUUUCGAUGAUGAAGCCUGUCCGCUGACGCAAUUAUUUUUU
Molecule: unclassified non-coding RNA, 406 nt
Filed under: Hevea brasiliensis (rubber tree)
Lineage: Eukaryota; Viridiplantae; Streptophyta; Magnoliopsida; Malpighiales; Euphorbiaceae
Source: RNAcentral